UGGGGGAUAUUGCACAAUGGGGGGAACCCUGAUGCAGCGACGCCGCGUGAGCGAAGAAGUAUUUCGGUAUGUAAAGCUCUAUCAGCAGGGAAGAAAGUGACGGUACCUGAGUAAGAAGCUCCGGCUAAAUACGUGCCAGCAGCCGCGGUAAUACGUAUGGAGCGAGCGUUAUCCGGAUUCACUGGGCGUAAAGGGAGCGCAGGCGGCCCGCCAAGUCUGAUGUGAAAUACCGGGGCUCAACCCCGGGGCUGCAUUGGAAACUGGCGGGCUGGAGUGUCGGAGAGGCAGGCGGAAUUCCUAGUGUAGCGGUGAAAUGCGUAGAUAUUAGGAGGAACACCAGUGGCGAAGGCGGCCUGCUGGACGACGACUGACGCUGAGGCUCGAAAGCGUGGGGAGCAAACAGG
RNAcentral lists this ribosomal RNA (404 nucleotides) under uncultured bacterium. RNAcentral describes it as "bacterial SSU rRNA". It matches the Rfam family "Bacterial small subunit ribosomal RNA", at positions 355 to 776 of the family's 1533-position model. The record is from RNAcentral.